This 218-nucleotide ribosomal RNA is filed under the name uncultured bacterium. Its description in RNAcentral is "partial 16S ribosomal RNA". It matches the Rfam family "Bacterial small subunit ribosomal RNA", at positions 1282 to 1500 of the family's 1533-position model. The record is from RNAcentral.
ACGAUCUCAGUUCGGACUGAAGGCUGAAAUUCGCCUUCACGAAGUCGGAAUUGCUAGUAAUGGCAGGUCAGCAUACUGCCGUGAAUACGUUCCCGGGCCUUGUACACACCGCCCGUCACACCAUGAGAGUUAGGAAUACCCGAAGCCUGUGAGCUAACUUUUAGAGGCAGCAGUCGAAGGUAGAACUAAUGAUUGGGGUGAAGUCGUAACAAGGUACC